CGUUGUCCGGAUUAUUGGGCGUAAAGAGCUUGUAGGCGGUUUGUCGCGUCUGCUGUGAAAGGCCGGGAGCUUAACYCCGUGUAUUGCAGUGGGUACGGGCAGACUAGAGUGCAGUAGGGGAGACUGGAAUUCCUGGUGUAGCGGUGGAAUGCGCAGAUAUCAGGAAGAACACCGAUGGCGAAGGCAGGUCUCUGGGCUGUAACUGACGCUGAGAAGCGAAAGCAUGGGGAGCGAACAGGAUUAGAUACCCUGGUAGUCCAUGCCGUAAACGUUGGGCACUAGGUGUGGGGGACAUUCCACGUUUUCCGCGCCGUAGCUAACGCAUUAAGUGCCCCGCCUGGGGAGUACGGCCGCAAGGCUAAAACUCAAAGAAAUUGACGGGGGCCCGCACAAGCGGCGGAGCAUGCGGAUUAAUUCGAUGCAACGCGAAGAACCUUACCAAGGCUUGACAUAUACUGGACCGCAUCAGAGAUGGUGUUUCCCUUCGGGGCUGGUAUACAGGUGGUGCAUGGUUGUCGUCAGCUCGUGUCGUG
Molecule: ribosomal RNA, 533 nt
Filed under: uncultured bacterium
Lineage: Bacteria
Description: bacterial SSU rRNA
Rfam family: Bacterial small subunit ribosomal RNA
Source: RNAcentral